UUUAAAUUAUUUGUAUUACGUUUAUUUUGUGUUUUAAAUUAUUUGUAUUACGUUUAUAUUAUGUCAUUAAAUCGAGUUUGUAUUUUGAAUCCAUUGGUGAAUGAAAGGUGAGAUUUGUAGGGUUUUUUCUCUCUCUCUCUCUCUCUCUCUCUCUCUCUCUCUCUCUCUCUCUCUCUCUCUCUCUCUCUCUCUCUCUCUCUAGUAUUGUCUAGCUAGCUCCUUGUGAAUGAGGUUACAAGUGAGAGUAUGAGUGAGAGUAAAUGGUAGGUAGUACUUCUAGAGAGAGAAAGAGAUUUUGCUUGUUUGGGUGAGUAGAGAGAGAGUGACUUCAACUGAGGUAUGAAAUUAGUGCAAAUGAGGAAGAUAUUAACAUACCCAAAAGAAAAAAUGCUAGAUUUUGCUUGGAUUCCUUAAAUAUAAUUUGUCAGAUGGAGAGAUGGGAAAUAAUCUUGGAAUAAAAGAUGGGUGGCAGAGAUGUUUGGAACUUAAUUAAACUUAGAUUUUGGGGAUCAAUAGAGAAGAAUCUACUUCAUCAUGACUACUAUCUUUUUGGGGAAAACUUAGUUUGAAUAACAGUCAGAGUACUGCUGCAAGAAGAUGAAUGAUUUCAACAAGGAACAACUUCAGAGAUCGUCACCUCUCUUAAUUUCCAUAAAAUAUUUUACGGGGCGAAAAACCAACUGAUAGUGCUCACCCAUUAAUGGAGAGAGAGAGAGAGAGAGAGAGAGAGAGAGAGAGAGAGAGAGAGAGAGAGAUUUGAAGUACUAACCAAGAUUUCAAGAUCUCAAGACUUAAAAAGUGAUGAAUGAUGAAGUGAAUCAA
Molecule: long non-coding RNA, 822 nt
Filed under: Malus domestica (apple)
Lineage: Eukaryota; Viridiplantae; Streptophyta; Magnoliopsida; Rosales; Rosaceae
Description: long non-coding RNA (MDOM_LNC003264)
Source: RNAcentral